This is a long non-coding RNA of Bradysia coprophila, 850 nucleotides long. RefSeq lists it as uncharacterized. The record is from RefSeq and is a predicted model, not a curated record. NCBI's taxonomy places the organism in Eukaryota, Metazoa, Arthropoda, Insecta, Diptera, Sciaridae.
UAAGCAAUGUUUUGAGACAUGCUGCCGUAUAUCGAUAGAAAGUGAAACGUUUCCCAAGUUUGCCUAUAUAAACUGAUAGCAUUCUGUUAGAAAUAAUUAGAAAUUAUUAUUUGAAAUAUGCCCUUGCCGGGCUUUUGCUUUAUUGUGGCAAUUACGAUAGAAUUUUUGCAGCGUUGAAAUUAUUUACCAGCAUUCAUGCUACAAUAUCCACCCAAAAUUGCUACAAUAUCCGCCCAAAAUUGCUCUUUCGUAUUUUUUGUGAUCCGCCGAAGAUUAUCACUACCUUCAUUACGUUUGAAUGCAGCAAAGAGCAUUCAGAAACACAUAAAUCAACAUCCCAGAUCUAGUUGCUCUUGUGAAUUUAAAUCAACGAAACAUCAAUUUUAUUAACUUUUUGGACCAUUUCUCAUUAUUGCCCGGAAACGAGAUACAUUUGUUACUAAAAUGAGCCCUUCUUGCGAGAAUUAUUCGGAUUGUGAAUGGUUUCACGAUUGUGGUCCCCGAAACAUUUGUAUUCCGAAUGGCAAUAUCUAUAUUUGGCCCUCGGUGUGCUAUCCAUUAUGAUCAUUUUGGAUUCACUUUGGAUCAUCUAUAACUAUAAGAAAAAUGGGACGUUCCUGCCACUAAUUAAUAUACAGUUUCGACGAGGAGUGCAUCGACUGCAUGGACUGCAUCGGAUAUGAGAAUUCUAUGACUAGUUAACACGAUUCCAUUUGUUCAUGAAUUACGUUUGGGGUUAAGUAAUUAAUAGAAAAAUUUAAGUUUGCAAAUUUUGGCGUAAAACGUGAAUAUGUAAUGUGUGUUUUAUCUCAGUAAAACGGCUAGCUAGUUUAAAAAAAAUGAAAAUUCC